CCUUCUUAACCAACGCUUCCAAUAUUAGAGCUAAUCAUAGGUAUCAAUAGUUUCUUAACUCUUUAUUAAGCAUAAAACUCUCAGACUCUCAUGUGUGUGUUCUAAGAAACUAUUGAUAACUAUGAUUUUGACCUAAUACUUGGGACGUACCUGUACUGAAUCAGGAUAAGAUUUACAUGUCUUCUGUAUUCGAUUGAGACCUGGACAUGGUUUUUGUUUACAACAAAAAACAAGAAACAUGGUAAGGUUGUGUCACGGAAGAGCACUAAUACUAUAAUCUGUAUAGAAAUUAAAAUAGUCUUUUUGAUCCAACAAAUUGUCCUAUUAAGCAAGUGUUUACAGUAACGAAGUGUUGAUACAUCCUAAACUUAAGAAACAAGACAUGUGGAGUUCUCUUUUGAUUUAAUGGUUUAACUACCGAGUUUUUUUCAGCCAGAAUCAGAAAGGGUAGGAUACUAUUACUUCACAGUUGCAAAUUUAUAAAACUGACCAACUGGUCACUGUUAAACUUACAAGAAUAAGAAGCUAAUCUUGGGGAGCUAUAUCUUUCAGGUAAGCACAUGCACAGCUUGAGCUUGAGAUUGCGGAAUUCAACCACAGACAUUCAUGCCUAGACACAAGACAGAGAUUCU
This 632-nucleotide long non-coding RNA is filed under the name Brassica rapa (field mustard). RNAcentral's name for it is "long non-coding RNA (BRAP_LNC000928)". The record is from RNAcentral. Lineage: Eukaryota; Viridiplantae; Streptophyta; Magnoliopsida; Brassicales; Brassicaceae.